This is a long non-coding RNA of Drosophila ficusphila, 594 nucleotides long. RefSeq lists it as uncharacterized. NCBI's taxonomy places the organism in Eukaryota, Metazoa, Arthropoda, Insecta, Diptera, Drosophilidae. The transcript has 3 exons. The record is from RefSeq and is a predicted model, not a curated record.
AAUACCCUCUCGAUCGGUAUUGCACUAUUACUUUUAUCAGAAAUCAAAUAAAAUUCCCUACACUUACCGGAUUUGGAUUUGAGUUCGGAAAGGAAAUUUUAUUUGGCGCUCCUUGUCAGAUGCCAGUCAAUCGUGCCAAUAUUAUUCAAUAACACGCCGACGGGUUUUGUGGCCCUUUCCCAAUGGCCAGAUGUCAGGAGCUCAAUUCGUAAACAACCGAGCAGCCGAGGAGACACGUGUUCGGUGGCAGAUAAACGCCGGAUAUACUAUGGAAGAUAUAACAAAGGACCCAGGACGUGCAGGGCAAAUAUUGAGUUUGAUCUUUUCAGCACUAAGGCGUCCUUUGCUUUCCCUUACUGAAGGUAUAAUCAUUUUAGUCUCAAGUUUAGUAAUAAAUAAGGUAUAUUGUUCUAAGUGAGCAUUGCCAGUUAAUUAAGACAGCCUCUCAGUUUGAACAGCUAAACGAAUUUAAAGAAAUCAAAUUGUUCUUAACUUAUAACACACAACUAAGAAAACUUCUCACAAACCUUGCACCAAAUGUGAAAUAUGUUCCUAAUAAACAUGAACAUUCACACCACAAUGGUUGAAAAAUAA